CUCAGGAUGAACGCUGGCGGCGUGCUUAACACAUGCAAGUCGAGCGAGAAAAGUUCUUCGGAGCUUUUCUAGCGGCGGACGGGUGAGUAACACGUGGGCAACCUGCCUCAUAGAGGGGAAUAGCCUUCCGAAAGGAAGAUUAAUACCGCAUAAUAUUGUUGAAAGGCAUCUUUUAACAAUCAAAGGAGCAAUCCGCUAUGAGAUGGGCCCGCGGCGCAUUAGCUAGUUGGUGAGGUAACGGCUCACCAAGGCGACGAUGCGUAGCCGACCUGAGAGGGUGAUCGGCCACAUUGGAACUGAGACACGGUCCAGACUCCUACGGGAGGCAGCAGUGGGGAAUAUUGCACAAUGGGGGAAACCCUGAUGCAGCGACGCCGCGUGGAGGAAGAAGGUCUUCGGAUUGUAAACUCCUGUUGUUAGGGACGAUAAUGACGGUACCUAACAAGAAAGCACCGGCUAACUACGUGCCAGCAGCCGCGGUAAAACGUAGGGUGCAAGCGUUGUCCGGAAUUACUGGGUGUAAAGGGAGCGCAGGCGGACCGGCAAGUUGGAAGUGAAAACUAUGGGCUCAACCCAUAAAUUGCUUUCAAAACUGCUGGCCUUGAGUAGUGCAGAGGUAGGUGGAAUUCCCGGUGUAGCGGUGGAAUGCGUAGAUAUCGGGAGGAACACCAGUGGCGAAGGCGACCUACUGGGCACCAACUGACGCUGAGGCUCGAAAGCAUGGGUAGCAAACAGGAUUAGAUACCCUGGUAGUCCAUGCCGUAAACGAUGAUUACUAGGUGUUGGAGGAUUGACCCCUUCAGUGCCGCAGUUAACACAAUAAGUAAUCCACCUGGGGAGUACGACCGCAAGGUUGAAACUCAAAGGAAUUGACGGGGGCCCGCACAAGCAGUGGAGUAUGUGGUUUAAUUCGAAGCAACGCGAAGAACCUUACCUGGUCUUGACAUCCCGAUGACCGGCCUAGAGAUAGGCUUUUCUCUUCGGAGACAUCGGUGACAGGUGGUGCAUGGUUGUCGUCAGCUCGUGUCGUGAGAUGUUGGGUUAAGUCCCGCAACGAGCGCAACCCUUAUUGUUAGUUGAUACAUUUAGUUGAUCACUCUAGCGAGACUGCCGCUGACAAAACGGAGGAAGGUGGGGACGACGUCAAAUCAUCAUGCCCCUUAUGACCAGGGCUACACACGUACUACAAUGGCAGACAUACAGAGGGAAGCAAAGCUGUGAAGCAGAGCAAAUCCCUAAAAGCUGUCCCAGUUCAGAUUGCAGGCUGCAACUCGCCUGCAUGAAGUCGGAAUAGCUAGUAAUCGCGGAUCAGCAUGCCGCGGUGAAUACGUUCCCGGGCCUUGUACUCACCGCCCGUCAA
RNAcentral lists this ribosomal RNA (1360 nucleotides) under uncultured bacterium. RNAcentral describes it as "bacterial SSU rRNA". It matches the Rfam family "Bacterial small subunit ribosomal RNA", at positions 23 to 1400 of the family's 1533-position model. The record is from RNAcentral.